This 180-nucleotide ribosomal RNA is filed under the name uncultured bacterium. Its description in RNAcentral is "partial 16S ribosomal RNA". It matches the Rfam family "Bacterial small subunit ribosomal RNA", at positions 1322 to 1500 of the family's 1533-position model. The record is from RNAcentral.
GAAGUCGGAAUUGCUAGUAAUGGCAGGUCAGCAUACUGCCGUGAAUACGUUCCCGGGCCCUUGUACACACCGCCCGUCACACCAUGAGAGUUGGAGAUACCCGAAGCCUGUGAGCUAACAGAAAUGGAGCAGCAGUCGAAGGUAGAAUCAAUGAUUGGGGUGAAGUCGUAACAAGGUAGC